AGUGAACGCUGGCGGUAGGCCUAACACAUGCAAGUCGAACGGCAGCACAGUAAGAGCUUGCUCUUACGGGUGGCGAGUGGCGGACGGGUGAGGAAUACAUCGGAAUCUACUUUUUCGUGGGGGAUAACGUAGGGAAACUUACGCUAAUACCGCAUACGACCUACGGGUGAAAGCAGGGGAUCUUCGGACCUUGCGCGAUUGAAUGAGCCGAUGUCGGAUUAGCUAGUUGGCGGGGUAAAGGCCCACCAAGGCGACGAUCCGUAGCUGGUCUGAGAGGAUGAUCAGCCACACUGGAACUGAGACACGGUACAGACUCCUACGGGAGGCAGCAGUGGGGAAUAUUAGACAAUGGGCGCAAGCCUGAUCCAGCCAUACCGCGUAGGUGAAGAAGGCCUUCGGGUUGUAAAGCCCUUUUGUUGGGAAAGAAAAGCAGCAGGUUAAUACCCCGCUGUUCUGACGGUACCCAAAGAAUAAGCACCGGCUAACUUCGUG
This 492-nucleotide ribosomal RNA is filed under the name uncultured bacterium. Its description in RNAcentral is "partial 16S ribosomal RNA". It matches the Rfam family "Bacterial small subunit ribosomal RNA", at positions 29 to 507 of the family's 1533-position model. The record is from RNAcentral.